RNAcentral lists this ribosomal RNA (207 nucleotides) under uncultured bacterium. RNAcentral's name for it is "partial 16S ribosomal RNA". It matches the Rfam family "Bacterial small subunit ribosomal RNA", at positions 568 to 774 of the family's 1533-position model. The record is from RNAcentral.
CGCGCAGGCGGUCCUGUAAGUCAGGCGUGAAAGCCCGGGGCUCAACCCCGGAAGUGCACUUGAAACUAUGGGACUUGAGUAUGGGAGAGGGAAGUGGAAUUCCUGGUGUAGCGGUGAAAUGCGUAGAUAUCAGGAGGAACAUCGGUGGCGAAGGCGACUUCCUGGACCAAUACUGACGCUGAGGCGCGAAGGCGUGGGGAGCAAACA